AUUGAACGCUGGCGGAAUGCUUUACACAUGCAAGUCGAACGGCAGCACGGACUUCGGUCUGGUGGCGAGUGGCGAACGGGUGAGUAAUACAUCGGAACGUGCCCAAUCGUGGGGGAUAACGUAGCGAAAGCUACGCUAAUACCGCAUACGAUCUAAGGAUGAAAGCGGGGGAUCGCAAGACCUCGCGCGAUUGGAGCGGCCGAUGGCAGAUUAGGUAGUUGGUAGGGUAAAGGCCUACCAAGCAGACGAUCUGUAGCUGGUCUGAGAGGAUGAUCAGCCACACUGGGACUGGGACACGGCCCAGACUCCUACGGGAUGCAGCAGUGGGGAAUUUUGGACAAUGGACGCAAGUCUGAUUCAGCCAUUCCGCGUGCAGGAUGAAGGCCCUCGGGUUGUAAACUGCUUUUGUACGGAACGAAACGGUGAGCUCUAAUACAGUUUGCUAAUGACGGUACCGUAAGAAUAAGCACCGGCUAACUACGUGCCAGCAGCCGUCGUAA
Molecule: ribosomal RNA, 500 nt
Filed under: uncultured bacterium
Lineage: Bacteria
Description: partial 16S ribosomal RNA
Rfam family: Bacterial small subunit ribosomal RNA
Source: RNAcentral